UUAAUCCGUCAGCAUAGCCGAAGUAAAGGGUGCUGUACCGAAGUUCACACGAUUGAAAGUAAUGAAGAUCGUGAAGCUGAGCUAAGGGAGCAGGUAGGCCGUAACGCAAGUGAAGCUAUUGAGCUCCGUCAUGUAUUUGAGAGUGUGGGUGCCGAGACUGUAUUUUAUGUCGAAGGCAACACGCAGGCGGGAGGAAGUGCCCGAAGCGACCCACCGGAGUCCGAGUGCA
Non-coding RNA from Proteobacteria bacterium SG_bin7, 229 nucleotides. The record is from Rfam. NCBI's taxonomy places the organism in Bacteria, Pseudomonadati, Pseudomonadota.